GCCGCUUGAAAGUCGCCCCGGCCGUGCCGUGGCCGUGGGUGAGAUCCGGCGCCGACAGCCAGCAGGGGCCUCCGCUCGCCGCCCACGGCCUCGGUGUGAGGAGGCGAAACCCAGGCCCCGACAGGC
This is a small nucleolar RNA of Lepus europaeus (European hare), 126 nucleotides long. RefSeq annotates it as small nucleolar RNA ACA64. Lineage: Eukaryota; Metazoa; Chordata; Mammalia; Lagomorpha; Leporidae. The transcript has a single exon. The record is from RefSeq and is a predicted model, not a curated record.